Molecule: ribosomal RNA, 465 nt
Filed under: Vreelandella stevensii
Lineage: Bacteria; Pseudomonadati; Pseudomonadota; Gammaproteobacteria; Oceanospirillales; Halomonadaceae
Description: partial 16S ribosomal RNA
Rfam family: Bacterial small subunit ribosomal RNA
Source: RNAcentral
CCUACGGGGGGCUGCAGUGGGGAAUAUUGGAUAAUGGGCGAAAGCCUGAUCCAGCCAUGCCGCGUGUGUGAAGAAGGCCUUCGGGUUGUAAAGCACUUUCAGUGGGGAAGAAAGCCUUGGGGCUAAUACCCUCGAGGAAGGACAUCACCCACAGAAGAAGCACCGGCUAACUCCGUGCCAGCAGCCGCGGUAAUACGGAGGGUGCGAGCGUUAAUCGGAAUUACUGGGCGUAAAGCGCGCGUAGGCGGUCUGAUAAGCCGGUUGUGAAAGCCCCGGGCUCAACCUGGGAACGGCAUCCGGAACUGUCAGGCUAGAGUGCAGGAGAGGAAGGUAGAAUCCCCGGUGUAGCGGUGAAAUGCGUAGAGAUCGGGAGGAAUACCAGUGGCGAAGGCGGCCUUCUGGACUGACACUGACGCUGAGGUGCGAAAGCGUGGGUAGCAAACAGGAUUAGAUACCCCGGUAGUC